This 72-nucleotide transfer RNA is filed under the name Actinobacteria bacterium QS_8_72_14. RNAcentral's name for it is "tRNA-Cys". It matches the Rfam family "tRNA". Rfam says of the family: Transfer RNA (tRNA) molecules are approximately 80 nucleotides in length. Lineage: Bacteria; Bacillati; Actinomycetota. The record is from RNAcentral.
GGCCGCGUAGCCGAGUGGUUCAGGCAGCAGACUGCAAAUCUGCGAACGGGGGUUCGAUUCCCCCCGCGGCCU